This 447-nucleotide ribosomal RNA is filed under the name uncultured bacterium. RNAcentral describes it as "partial 16S ribosomal RNA". It matches the Rfam family "Bacterial small subunit ribosomal RNA", at positions 28 to 523 of the family's 1533-position model. The record is from RNAcentral.
GAUGAACGCUGGCGGCAGGCUUAACACAUGCAAGUCGAACGCCCCGCAAGGGGAGUGGCAGACGGGUGAGUAACACGUGGGGAUCUGCCCAAUGGUACGGAAUAAUUACGGGAAACUGGGACUAAUACCGUAUGUGCCCGCAAGGGGAAAGAUUUAUCGCCAUUGGAUGAACCCGCGUCGGAUUAGCUAGUUGGUGAGGUAAAGGCUCAACAAGGCGACGAUCCGUAGCUGGUCUGAGAGGAUGAUCAGCCACACUGGGACUGAGACACGGCCCAGACUCCUACGGGAGGCAGCAGUGGGGAAUAUUGGACAAUGGGCGCAAGCCUGAUCCAGCCAUGCCGCGUGGGUGAUGAAGGCCCUAGGGUUGUAAAGCUCUUUCGCCGACGAAGAUAAUGACGGUAGUCGGAGAAGAAGCCCCGGCUAACUUCGUGCCAGCCGCCGCAGUAA